CAGCCGCGGUAAUUCCAGCUCCAAUAGCGUAUAUUAAAGUUGUUGCAGUUAAAAAGCUCGUAGUUGAAUUUCGGGAUUGACACAUCGGUCGUGCCUUAAGGGGCAUGAACUGGUGUAGUCAGUUUCUCACCUUCUGGAGAACCGCGAUGUCCUUAAUUGGGUGCCGCGAGGAACCAGGACCUUUACUUUGAAAAAAUUAGAGUGUUUAAAGCAGGCAUUUUGCUUGAAUACAUUAGCAUGGAAUAAUAAAAUAGGACGGAUGGUUCUAUUUUGUUGGUUUCUAGGAUCACCGUAAUGAUUAAUAGGGAUAGUUGGGGGCAUUAGUAUUCAAUUGUCAGAGGUGAAAUUCUUGGAUUUAUUGAAGACUAACUACUGCGAAAGCAUUUUGCCAAGGAUGUUUUCAUUAAUCAAGAACGAAAGUUAGGGAUCGAAGACGAUCAGAUACCGUCGUAGUCUUAACCUUAACCAUAAACUAUGCCGACUAGGGGAUCGGAUGAUGUUAAUUUUUAUAAUGACUCAUUUGGCACCUUACGGGAAAC
This 539-nucleotide ribosomal RNA is filed under the name uncultured Glomeromycotina. Its description in RNAcentral is "SSU rRNA". It matches the Rfam family "Eukaryotic small subunit ribosomal RNA", at positions 571 to 1098 of the family's 1831-position model. Lineage: Eukaryota; Fungi; Glomeromycota. The record is from RNAcentral.